GGACUACACGGGUUUCUAAUCCUGUUUGCUCCCCUGGCCUUCGUGUCUCAGUGUCAGGAACUGUCCAGAGACCCGCCUUCGCCACUGGUCUUCCUCAUGAUCUCUACGCAUUUCACUGCUACACCAUGAAUUCCAGUCUCCUCUCCAGUCCUCAAGCACCGCAGUAUCGAAUGCAGUUUCGGAGUUAAGCUCCGAAAUUUCACACCCGACUUACGGCGCCACCUACACACCCUUUACGCCCAAUGAAUCCGAACAACGCUUGAGACCUCUGUAUUACCGCGGCUGCUGGCAC
RNAcentral lists this unclassified non-coding RNA (292 nucleotides) under uncultured Chthoniobacteraceae bacterium. RNAcentral describes it as "contains 16S-23S intergenic spacer region". Lineage: Bacteria; Pseudomonadati; Verrucomicrobiota; Spartobacteria; Chthoniobacterales; Chthoniobacteraceae. The record is from RNAcentral.